CGCGGUAUAUUGACCGUGCGAAGGUAGCAUAAUCAAUAGUUCUUUAAUUGAGGACUGGAAUGAAGGGUCGGACGAGAAGUAAGCUGUCUCUAAAAUAAAUCUUGAAGUUUACUUUUAAGUGAAAAGGCUUAAAUAAGAUAAAGGGACGAUAAGACCCUAUAAAACUUUACAGAUUACAUCUAAAAUUUGUUUGAAAUUAUGUGUAAAUUCGUUUUAGUGUAGCUGUUUUGUUGGGGCGACAGAGAUAUAAUUAAUUAACUGUUUUUGGUGAUUAAAAUAAUACUAAUUAGUUAAUUUGAUCCAUUAAUAAGGAUUAAAAGAUUAAGUUACUUUAGGGAUAACAGCGUAAUUUCUCUUGAGAGUUCUAAUCGACAGAGUUAGUUGCGACCUCGAUGUUGAAUUAAGGUGUUAGCUAGGCG
RNAcentral lists this ribosomal RNA (419 nucleotides) under Lysmata debelius (fire shrimp). Its description in RNAcentral is "partial 16S ribosomal RNA". It matches the Rfam family "Bacterial large subunit ribosomal RNA", at positions 1932 to 2555 of the family's 2925-position model. The record is from RNAcentral. Lineage: Eukaryota; Metazoa; Arthropoda; Malacostraca; Decapoda; Hippolytidae.